CACAUGCAGUCGAACGAUAUUUUCCAGCUUGCUGGAAGAGAAAGUGGCGCACGGGUGCGUAACGCGUAUGCAACCUACCUUUAUCAGGGGGAUAGCCCGGAGAAAUCCGGAUUAACACCGCAUAAAAACACAGGAUAGCAUUAUCCAAUGUUCAAAUAUUUAUAGGAUAAAGAUGGGCAUGCGUGUCAUUAGCUAGUUGGCGGGGUAACGGCCCACCAAGGCGACGAUGACUAGGGGAUCUGAGAGGAUGACCCCCCACACUGGUACUGAGACACGGACCAGACUCAUACGGGAGGCAGCAGUAAGGAAUAUUGGUCAAUGGAGGCAACUCUGAACCAGCCAUGCCGCGUGCAGGAAGACUGCCCUAUGGGUUGUAAACUGCUUUUAUCCGGGAAUAAACCUCUUUACGAGUAGAGAGCUGAAUGUACCGGAAGAAUAAGGAUCGGCUAACUCCGUGCCAGCAGCCGCGGUAAUACGGAGGAUCCAAGCGUUAUCCGGAUUUAUUGGGUUUAAAGGGUGCGUAGGCGGCCUGUUAAGUCAGGGGUGAAAGACGGUAGCUCAACUAUCGCAGUGCCCUUGAUACUGAUGGGCUUGAAUGGACUAGAGGUAGGCGGAAUGAGACAAGUA
This 627-nucleotide ribosomal RNA is filed under the name bacterium amp-w-80. RNAcentral describes it as "bacterial SSU rRNA". It matches the Rfam family "Bacterial small subunit ribosomal RNA", at positions 52 to 677 of the family's 1533-position model. The record is from RNAcentral.